UCAUUUUGNGCUUAUGUGCAACACAGAGA
RNAcentral lists this non-coding RNA (29 nucleotides) under Mus musculus (house mouse). The record is from RNAcentral. Lineage: Eukaryota; Metazoa; Chordata; Mammalia; Rodentia; Muridae.